UUUAUUUAUUGUGCACGUGCACAUAGCCCACAUACAGAUCGUUAAAACCCGACCGAAACAGCGGUUCCCGGAAACUGCGUGCUCUUCGCUCCUCCGAUUUUCAUUCUGACCGGCUUCUCUUUUGUAACGGUACGCCAUUUUCGUGAUUCUGUUUUCUUCAAGGAAAAUAUUUGUGUCUUCUUCUCUUUUGGUUGUGUUUCGCUGAGCUUCUUCAUUGCAUUUUCGCCUGAAUAUUAGUGUAAUAUCCAGAACUGAUUCAUGAUUUGGAAAGAAAUUAGGGUUUUUUUGUAAGCGAAUUUUUAUUUCUUAAAAAGUGCAUUAGGUUAUGAAAUUAAUCUACUAAAUUUUUUGAUGCUGGACAUUUACUUGCUAGUGUUCAUUUCUACUGCACAACACUUUUCCUAUCCUGAGUCCUGACCUAGCCAAUUUGAAUAAAUAACUUUGAAAUAUGGAUGAUUUGGUUUAAAAUUAAGAUAUUGGUUUAAGAAAGAUAAAUAAGGUAUUUAUGCAAGUUUUAUUAUUUAUUAUUAUUCAGAGGUUUCCAAGAUGGACUUAUAUCAUCACCAGUGACGGAUGAACUAACAUAGAAUUAGCCGAAAUUAUCAGCUCCUCCAGAAACCACAAUGGGGCUCCUGACCUUGUGCUUGCCAGUUUCCUCGACCCAAGUGAGUGAACCAAAUGUCGGAAAUGAAUCAAUAUCGCCCCUGUAACGAAUGUUUAAGGAAUAACUCUGCUUCUCGUAUUUCUUUUGAAACACUAAUGUCUUUGGCUGAAUUCUAACUCUGGUAUUCGCAGGUUUUUCCAGCUUAACUUUAUACGUGGCUGCACCAUCUGCUACAUUCGUCACCGUCCUGUGGAAUGUCCGGUUAAACGUCAUCCCUCUUUCGUCAAAGUUAAAAAGAGCAAUGAAAGACGGGUAGUUCAGGUCGGAGGAUGGGCUCGAGCAGUUGUAGGUUGAUCUCGUGAUUGUUUGAGUUUGCUCGCGGGUCAAAUUCAUCGAGCAAACAAGAUUCACAAAGUCUUGUGGAGUAGCAUCGUAGACUAGGCCUGGAUCGAGCGCGCGAUUAGGAUCCACAUGCCCUGAUCCAAUGCCUAGAGGCGUGGCGUUACUGUAAUUAAACGCCAUAUCCUUGAUUGGCUGAUUGGUAUUAUCAAGAUGAUUGGCAGUGGUCAUCAUGGCCGAUUGAAUAGCCGAAGGACUCCAAUCGGGGUGUGCUGCUUUGAGAAGCGCAGCAACUCCGGCAAUAUGAGGGCAAGCCAUGGAUGUGCCUGACAAGAGAUUGUAAUCACUCGACAAGAACACGUUCUUACCGAUAACCGGUGCACUAUUAAUACUGUAAGGACUGUUCGCUGCUAAGAUCAGCACUCCUGGUGCCAUUAUGUCGGGCUUCAAUAUCCGGUCAUAGCUUAGUGCAGGCCCUCUAGAUGACGAACCUGAUAGGGCUGGAGCAGCUCUCGGCUCAGUCCCUAUAAUCGUUUGCUGAAAAUCGAUGCUUGCUGUUGGAGAGGUACUACUCGAUGCGUACCUGACCACCUCCACUGAUUGAGCUGGAGUGAUUAUAGCACCGGGAAAUUGAAAAUUAUUGGAUCGAAGUAAGCUUGUGUCAUCGGAAAUAACAAUAACUGCUUGGACAUUGGAAUCCGCCAGAUAGUUCCACAGGAAAAAGAAGAACGGAUCUUCCUCCGUCUUGUUACAGAUGAUUAUGCUGUUGAAUGGUGCUUCCGCCAAUAAUUCGGUUGAGUUGCAGGCAGACAAUGUCUCGUUGUACACAAGGGGCAAGUUUCUGAUAGCUGCUCUUGCGGGAAAAGUGGUCCACCCUGUGAUGGAUUUCCCGUUCCCGAGGGUCACGGUCCCACCGAACCACCGAUCAACAGUCCCCGAUGCAACUUCGACAGCCCACGGCAUUCCUCCUCGCACAGUAGCACCGCUAGGGCCGCCAUUUCCUGCGGCGAAACAAACCAAGACCCCAUGCUCACGAGCACCAAAGGCAGCUACAGCAAUAGGGUUCUCGUAGAGACUGGCCCGCCGAAAAGUAAUCGAAAUUGAGACUAUAUCGACACCGUCAGCCACAGCUUGGUCGAUUCCCGCGAGUACAUCCGAUUCGUAACCUCCGCCGAACAGGACUUUAUACGCCGCCAGCCUGGCACGUGGGGCCACCCCUCGUGCAGUUCCAGGUGCGUAACCGAAGAACGAGACACCCUCGACGUAGUUUCCGGCGGCAGUUGAGGCGACGUGGGUCCCGUGACCAUCGUCGUCCCUUGCUGAAUCGGGGACAGGGGUUUCAGGAAAUGCGGCUCGAGUACCUUGGUUGAAAUAUCUGACUCCGAUGAGUUUCUUGUUGCACAAAGACGAAUUGAAAUCUUGGCCGCCUUGGCAAGUGCCCUUCCACUUUGCUGGGAUAGCGGUCAUGCCUUCAUCACUAAAGCUCGGACUUUCCGGCCAAAUUCCGCCGUCUAAGAUUCCGAUUAUCACAUCUUUGCCGUAGUUGGAUGCCGGCCACAAUCCCGAAGCAGUGUUGAGUGAGAGGAAUUUAUAGGAAUGGGUAGUGGCUGCUGUGACGGCUCCAUCUUCAAAAGCCGAAAGGAAACCCGGUGACUUCUUCAAAGCUUCCAAUUCGUGUUUGUUCAUCACCACACUGAAUCCAUGGAAGGCAUUGUCGUAAGUGUAGAUAAUCUUCAACCCGCGUUCGUCGAGUGAUUUAGCAGAAUUGAGCAUGGAAGAAUACCAAUGAUGGUGGCUCGAAAAUGCCUUUGGCAUGGAGGAUUUGUCCAUGUGGACAAUAUAUGUCGAUCUUUCUGCCGAAACAUCAUCGGCCAAUAGAAAAAUCGAGACAAGAAUUAGAGCAACUGCCAUAAGAGGAAGCAGCUCCAUUGUUUUUUCACUAAUUAGAUCUGAGUUGUGAAUAUGGUAGAUUGGUUUAGACAAGUAGUUAUUAGUACCAUUCUGUUAUAUAAAGAUAUUUGCUGACUUUUCUUUGCUUUUGCCAACCAAUUAUUAUACUUUUUUUUGUUUUUAAAUUCAGUAUAUGUUGCUGUCAUCUUGCCAGCGCAAGUUGAUAAUAUUACAGGAUAAUGCAAAGGGGAUAAAGAAAAAUCCUUGUAUCAUUUUCAAUUACUGUAUGUACCACGUACAUGAUUGGUUUGUAUAGGUGCAUUAGAUUUUAUUUGGACCAUGCAUAUUUCCAAGUACCUAUUACUGUAAAACCUCUCUCUCAGACAUUUCAACAUACACCUUUCAGCAGCAGUGGCUUGAAUUGACUACGAAAUAAUCGCAACAUUCAUCUCUAAAUACAUGUUCGUCUUACACGUAAAUGCGAAUCCUUGAAACAUUUGUCGUUCCAUCAUCAAUCAAGUUUAGCUUAAACUUUAUUUAACCAAUAAGAACUUCACUUUUUAGCGAAGUACCCCUAAAAACUCACUUCUAACAGCGCAAUUUGUUUUCAUUUUUUUUUUUUUUUAAUUUGAAGAAAGUGAAAUAUACAUUUCGUUGGAAUCGAAGUAAGUGAAGAAGAGUGUCAGGUUCUUCAAAAAAUCGCGAGUUCAUUAUAGCGUGAUUCUUUGAUUCUGUAGAAGCGCUGUUGUUUAUCGAUUCUGGGUUCCAACAUUAAUCUUGCAGCACACACGAUAUGCUAAUGUUCGUGCCAUCUGGUAUUUGCAUUUCUGUUUCUCAAGAUUCAUGCACUCAAGAUGUUUGAUUUUUGUCCCAAAAGAACUCCUCUCAAGUCUCAAUCUUUCUCCUCCUUUUUUUUUGUCUUUCCAAUUCACCUUAUGUCCAUUAGUUACGUUAACAAAUCCAUUUUUCUUGUUCCAGCAGACUCUACUCAGUAAAUAUCUUUCUUUUUUUUUCUUUUGAAGUUACUAAGCAAGCAUGCCAUUUUUCUACGUUAGCCAGGAAUUCAAACAAUGUCACGUUGUAUCUCCAAAGGCCAAAGCUGAUUGAUUCAAUGAAGCUGUGUACCCGUUUAAAUGCACCCGAAAGCUCUCCUGUUAACAUCUUUAACAAUCCUUCAAUGGACUCGUUUGUUGUGAUCAAUGCACUUCGGUCAGCUCCCUCGCCCAUCGCAGCCCUCUGUUUGAUCGAAAAUCUAAAAAAGAUAAAAGAUUUUCCUCAUUCCGAAGACACCCUCUAUGCACUGGCCAAGAUUCUUGCUAAAUCCGGAAAAACUAGUAAACUCAGAGCAUUGAUCGAUGCCAUCAAUAAUAGUGGCAAGUUUGUAAAUGUGGCGUAUGUCAGUUUCUUGGAUCGGGUGAAGUGGAAUGCAGGGUGUUUGGGAAGAGUGGAGAAGAGCCUUGGACAAGCUCCCAUGUAACUGCAUCCUAUAAUAUAGUAAUGAAACUUUGUGUUGAGAAGGGCAUGGAAGAAAUGGCAAUAAAUGUAUUCUGCAGGAUGAUCGAUGGAUGGGAGCUCUCGAAUUGUAGAAUCUACAUUAUUAUUAUCCAGCACCUGAUUAAGUUUGAGAAAUUAUAUUCGGCUAUGAAACUAUUUCAAAUGCUACCAUUGAUGCGAUUUCGUCGUACAUCAAAGAAGUAUUAUUCAUUGGUCGAAGUUUUUACAGACUCCGACAAUGUAAAUGUUGCGAAGACUUUACUUAACGAGAUGCGAGCUGACUGGACAUUAAAACAUUCUCCCACUAUGCAAUGCCAUUAUUAUUAUUAAUUUUAGAGGUUUCCAAAGAUCGACUUAUAUCAUGACUAGCGAGUAGCGAGUAGCGACAGAUGAGCUAACAUAGAAUUAACCGAAAUUAUCAACUCCUCCAGAAACCACGAUGGGGCUCCUGACCACGUGCUUGCCAGUUUCCUCAACCCAAGUGAGUGAACCAUGCCUCGGAAAUGCAUUAUUAUCACCCCUGUAACGGAUGUUUAAGGAAUAACUUUGCUUCUCGUAUUUCUUUUGAAACACUAAUGUCUUUGGCUGAAUUCUAACUCUGGUAUUCGCAGGUUUUUCCAGCUUAACUUUAUACGUGGCUGCACCAUCUGCUACAUUCGUCACCGUCCUGUGGAAUGUCCGGUUAAACGUCAUCCCUAUUUCGUCGUUGUUAAAAAGAGCAAUGAAAGACGGGUAAUUCAGGUCGGAGGAUGGGCUCGAGCAGUUAUAGCUUGUUCUGGUGAUUGUUUGAGUUUGCUCCCGAGUGAAAUUCCUGGAGCAAACAAGAUUCACAAAGUCUUGUGGGGAUGCAUCGUAGACUAGGCCUGGAUCAAGCGCGCGAUUGGGAUCCAC
RNAcentral lists this long non-coding RNA (5218 nucleotides) under Erythranthe guttata (spotted monkey flower). RNAcentral's name for it is "long non-coding RNA (EGUT_LNC001228)". The record is from RNAcentral. Lineage: Eukaryota; Viridiplantae; Streptophyta; Magnoliopsida; Lamiales; Phrymaceae.